UGGCAGCCUGCACACCGAUCAUACAACCAAAUAAAACGGACGAUAAUCUGAAUUAAUCUAUAGAUGAACUGGUGGAAAACUAUGCAGAAAGGAAAACACUGCAAAGCAAUAUGCAGCUUCAAAAUCCAAGUUUAUGGCCAGUAGAAACGAUAACAGUGCUUCUACUUCAUAAUACAGAAACGAAUGUUCAAGAAAAAGAAAACUUGACAUGGAAGCCAUGCUCUAAGUUCAAUUAAGGCAUAUUUCAAACAUAAAUGAGUUUCCUCGAGUCCUCAUUAAGUUAGCUAUGGUUAUUUGGGUUGCUUGAGUGCUGGUUCAUUGUUUUAUAGGAUUUCUUAGAGAUUCAGAGUUAGGAUUAGCUCUGUAAUUUCAAAAUUUAUUGGAAACAGACAACAGAAGAAGUUCAAGGUGUCAUUUUCUAUUCAUGUGUCUUGCUAGUCCAACAAGUGAUCUUUAUUCAUAUUUUCCU
Molecule: long non-coding RNA, 469 nt
Organism: Populus euphratica (Euphrates poplar)
Lineage: Eukaryota; Viridiplantae; Streptophyta; Magnoliopsida; Malpighiales; Salicaceae
Exons: 2
Source: RefSeq, a predicted model, not a curated record